RNAcentral lists this RNase P RNA (358 nucleotides) under Methyloglobulus sp. RNAcentral describes it as "RNase P RNA component class A". It matches the Rfam family "Bacterial RNase P class A". Rfam says of the family: Ribonuclease P (RNase P) is a ubiquitous endoribonuclease, found in archaea, bacteria and eukarya as well as chloroplasts and mitochondria. Its best characterised activity is the generation of mature 5'-ends of tRNAs by cleaving the 5'-leader elements of precursor-tRNAs. Lineage: Bacteria; Pseudomonadati; Pseudomonadota; Gammaproteobacteria; Methylococcales; Methylococcaceae. The record is from RNAcentral.
AGAGUCGGCUGGGCAGUCGCUGUUUUAUCGCAAGAUAGAAUGGAGGAAAGUCCGGGCUCCAUUGGGCAGGGUGCCAGGUAACGCCUGGGAGGUGUAAACCUACGGAAAGUGCCACAGAAAAUAUACCGCCCCAGCCCUUGUAAAAGGGCUGGGGUAAGGGUGAAAAGGUGCGGUAAGAGCGCACCGCGCAACUGGCAACAGGGGCGGCAUGGUAAACCCCACCCGGAGCAAGAUCAAAUAGAGGGACAGACGCGUGGCCCGCGCGGUCCCUGGGUAGAUUGCUUGAGCUGCAAGGUGACUUGCAGCCUAGAUGAAUGGCUGCCCUCGACAGAACCCGGCUUAUAGGCCGACUUUUUCU